RNAcentral lists this ribosomal RNA (506 nucleotides) under uncultured bacterium. RNAcentral's name for it is "partial 16S ribosomal RNA". It matches the Rfam family "Bacterial small subunit ribosomal RNA", at positions 29 to 523 of the family's 1533-position model. The record is from RNAcentral.
AGUGAACGCUGGCGGUAGGCCUAACACAUGCAAGUCGAACGGCAGCACAGGAGAGCUUGCUCUCUGGGUGGCGAGUGGCGGACGGGUGAGGAGUACAUCGGAAUCUACUCUGUCGUGGGGGAUAACGUAGGGAAACUUACGCUAAUACCGCAUACGACCUACGGGUGAAAGCAGGGGACCUUCGGGCCUUGCGCGAUUGAAUGAGCCGAUGUCGGAUUAGCUAGUUGGCGGGGUAAAGGCCCACCAAGGCGACGAUCCGUAGCUGGUCUGGGGGGAUGACCAGCCACACUGGAACUGAGACACGGUCCAGAAUCCUACGGGAGGCAGCAGUGGGGAAUAUUGGACAAUGGGCGCAAGCCUGAUCCAGCCAUACCGCGUGGGUGAAGAAGGCCUUCGGGUUGUAAAGCCCUUUUGUUGGGAAAGAAAUCCAGCUGGCUAAUACCCGGUUGGGAUGACGGUACCCAAAGAAUAAGCACCGGCUAACUUCGUGCCAGCCGCCGCAGUAA